RNAcentral lists this unclassified non-coding RNA (376 nucleotides) under soil metagenome. Its description in RNAcentral is "partial contains 5.8S ribosomal RNA, internal transcribed spacer 2, and large subunit ribosomal RNA". The stretch from base 1 to 120 matches the Rfam family "5.8S ribosomal RNA", at positions 35 to 154 of the family's 154-position model. The record is from RNAcentral.
GAUGAAGAACGUAGCGAAAUGCGAUAAGUAAUGUGAAUUGCAGAAUUCAGUGAAUCAUCGAAUCUUUGAACGCAUCUUGCGCUCCUUGGUAUUCUGAGGAGCAUGCCUGUUUGAGUGUCAUUAAAUUCUCAACUACACUGACUUUGAAUUGGUGUGGCUUGGAUUUGGGGGGAAAAUUGUUGUGGGCUUUUUGUAUAGUCUGCUCCCCUGAAAUUGAUUAGCGGUAUCUUUGUGGAACUGUCUACAGGUGUGAUAAUUAUCUACAUCUUAGACAUCUGCUGGAAUGCUGCUUUCUAAACCUUACUUGUAUUGACAAUCUUGACCUCAAAUCAGGUAGGACUACCCGCUGAACUUAAGCAUAUCAAUAAGCGGAGGA